RNAcentral lists this ribosomal RNA (495 nucleotides) under uncultured bacterium. RNAcentral describes it as "bacterial SSU rRNA". It matches the Rfam family "Bacterial small subunit ribosomal RNA", at positions 903 to 1397 of the family's 1533-position model. The record is from RNAcentral.
AAAGGAAUAGACGGGGGCCCGCACAAGCGGCGGAGCAUGCGGAUUAAUUCGAUGCAACGCGAAGAACCUUACCUGGGCUUGACAUGUGCCGGACGCCCGCGGAGACGUGGGUUCCCUUCGGGGCCGGUUCACAGGUGGUGCAUGGUCGUCGUCAGCUCGUGUCGUGAGAUGUUGGGUUAAGUCCCGCAACGAGCGCAACCCUCGCCGCGUGUUGCCAGCGGGUCAUGCCGGGAACUCACGUGGGACCGCCGGGGUUAACUCGGAGGAAGGUGGGGAUGACGUCAGAUCAUCAUGCCCCUUACGUCCAGGGCUUCACGCAUGCUACAAUGGCCGGUACAACGGGGUGCGACACGGUGACGUGGGGCGGAUCCCUGAAAACCGGUCUCAGUUCGGAUCGCAGUCUGCAACUCGACUGCGUGAAGGUGGAGUCGCUAGUAAUCGCGGAUCAGCAACGCCGCGGUGAAUGCGUUCCCGGGCCUUGUACACACCGCCCGU